GUUUUAAUAGUUUAAACAAAACACCGGUCUUGUAAAUCGGAAUUGAAGAAGUUUCUUCUUAAAGCA
RNAcentral lists this transfer RNA (66 nucleotides) under Benthonectes filipes. RNAcentral's name for it is "tRNA-Thr". It matches the Rfam family "tRNA". From Rfam's summary of the family: Transfer RNA (tRNA) molecules are approximately 80 nucleotides in length. The record is from RNAcentral. Lineage: Eukaryota; Metazoa; Arthropoda; Malacostraca; Decapoda; Benthesicymidae.